UGAAUUAUAAUAGUAACGAUUUGACUCCGCGAAAUUGAUUGAGCUAAUUAAUAUUUAUUUUUAGAUGCGGAGAUGUUGCAUAAUUUACUAAAUUUUAAUUAGGGGUGAUAGGCUUUACAAAAUCAAAGAUAACUUGAUAGCUAAGAGAUGUAUUAGUACUAAGACACUCUUGGAGUGAUAAGGUUACAAGAGGAUGGCGAAUUAGAAUUUUUAAUGCGUAUCCUAUUUAACCAUAAAUUCUUUAUUAUUAUAAUAUUCAUUUUUGAAAAUUGCCACAAUUAUCAGCUACUGGUGAAAUCAUCUUAACCACUUACAAUGUUUAUAUAAGUAACAAACAAAUAAUAGUAAUGAACUCGGCAAUAAGCUUUUCAACUGUUUAUCAAAAACAUAGCUAUAUGAGUUGAUAUAUAGUACUUUCUGCUCAAUGACAAAUUAAAUGGCCGCAGUACCCUGACUGUGCUAAGGUAGCGCAAUCAAUUGACUUUUAAUUGAAGUCCUGUAUGAAAGAAACUAUGGAGAGCUGCUUUCUCACUAAUAAUUGAUGAAUUUACUUAGGAAGUGAAAAUUCUUCUAGAUAACCAAUAGACGAGAAGACCCUAGAAAUUUUGAGAGAUUACUUUUUGUUGGGGCAACAGAGUAGCAAUUUAAUCUACUGCUGGACACGAAAUUACUAUUUUGACAGAUUAAAUUACUCUAGGGAUAACAGCAUAAUUUGCGAAAGUUUGUGACCUCGAUGUUGGAUUAAGGAGUUGACGUUUAGAAG
This 763-nucleotide ribosomal RNA is filed under the name Austrochloritis sp. MV13. Its description in RNAcentral is "partial large subunit ribosomal RNA". The stretch from base 359 to 522 matches the Rfam family "Bacterial large subunit ribosomal RNA", at positions 1786 to 2014 of the family's 2925-position model. The record is from RNAcentral. Lineage: Eukaryota; Metazoa; Mollusca; Gastropoda; Stylommatophora; Camaenidae.